AAUUCGAUUGAGUUUGAUCAUGGCUCAGGACGAACGCUGGCGGCGUGCCUAAAACAUGCAAGUCGAACGGGGUCCAUCCUUCGGGAGAAGACCUAGUGGCGAACGGGUGAGUAACACGUGAGAAACCUGCCUCGAAGUCUGGGAUAAGCCAGGGAAACUUGGUCUAAUACCGGAUGCCUUCACAACCUCUUCUGUUGUUGUGAAGAAAGUUUUUCGCUUCGAGAGGGUCUCGCGUCCUAUCAGCUUGUUGGUGGGGUAACGGCCUACCAAGGCUUCGACGGGUAGCUGGUCUGAGAGGAUGGUCAGCCACACUGGGACUGAGACACGGCCCAGACUCCUACGGGAGGCAGCAGUUAGGAAUCUUGCGCAAUGGGCGAAAGCCUGACGCAGCAACGCCGCGUGAGGGAUGAAUGCUUUCGGGUUGUAAACCUCUUUCAGCAGGAACGAAAUUGACGGUACCUGCAGAAGAAGCUCCGGCCAACUACGUGCCAGCAGCCGCGGUAAUACGUAGGGAGCAAGCGUUGUCCGGAUUUAUUGGGCGUAAAGAGCUCGUAGGCGGUUUAGAAAGUCAGGUGUGAAAACUCUGGGCUCAACCCAGAGACGCCACUUGAUACUUCUAUGACUUGAGUUCGGUAGGGGACCAUGGAAUUCCUGGUGUAGCGGUGAAAUGCGCAGAUAUCAGGAGGAACACCGAUGGCGAAGGCAGUGGUCUGGGCCGAUACUGACGCUGAGGAGCGAAAGCGUGGGGAGCAAACAGGAUUAGAUACCCU
Molecule: ribosomal RNA, 770 nt
Filed under: uncultured bacterium
Lineage: Bacteria
Description: bacterial SSU rRNA
Rfam family: Bacterial small subunit ribosomal RNA
Source: RNAcentral